Molecule: ribosomal RNA, 544 nt
Filed under: uncultured bacterium
Lineage: Bacteria
Description: bacterial SSU rRNA
Rfam family: Bacterial small subunit ribosomal RNA
Source: RNAcentral
UAUACCAUAGAUAAUGUACCUCUUAGUUCGGGAUAGCCACUGGAAACGGUGAUUAAUACCGGAUACUCCUUCUUGCUCUAAGGUAAGUCGGGAAAGUUUUUUCGCUAACAGAUCAGUCUAUGUCCUAUCAGUUAGUUGGUGAGGUAACGGCUCACCAAGGCAAUGACGGGUAGCGGUUCUGAGAGGAUGAUCCGCCACACUGGUACUGAGACACGGACCAGACUCCUACGGGAGGCAGCAAUGAGGAAUAUUGCACAAUGGGCGAAAGCCUGAUGCAGCAACGCCGCGUGGAGGAUGACGCAUUUCGGUGUGUAAACUCCUUUUAUAUGUCAAGAAAAUGACGGUAGCAUAUGAAUAAGCACCGGCUAACUCCGUGCCAGCAGCCGCGGUAAUACGGAGGGUGCAAGCGUUACUCGGAAUCACUGGGCGUAAAGGACGCGUAGGCUGUUUAGCAAGUCAGAUGUGAAAUCCAAUGGCUCAACCAUUGAACUGCAUUUGAAACUGCUAGACUAGAGUAUGGGAGGGGGAGAUGGAAUUAGUGGUG